This 205-nucleotide long non-coding RNA is filed under the name Physcomitrium patens. Its description in RNAcentral is "long non-coding RNA (PPAT_LNC003133)". The record is from RNAcentral. Lineage: Eukaryota; Viridiplantae; Streptophyta; Bryopsida; Funariales; Funariaceae.
UACUAUUAUCUUUUACUUGAUCAUCAAUUUUUAGAAUAUUAAUAUCUUAAAAAAAUUUAAACUUUGUAAAUAGAUAAAUUAUAAAUUCAAUAGUCUUUUCUUUUAUGUCGUAGUUAAAAAGGAUUAGCUUUUGAGCUAUCAAGGACAAGAACUCAAAGAAUAUAAAUAAUCAAGUGAUUUAUUUUUUAAAAAAAGAUGACUAAAA